Molecule: ribosomal RNA, 439 nt
Filed under: uncultured bacterium
Lineage: Bacteria
Description: partial 16S ribosomal RNA
Rfam family: Bacterial small subunit ribosomal RNA
Source: RNAcentral
CUACGGGAUGCAGCAGUGAGGAAUAUUGCACAAUGGGGGGAACCCUGAUGCAGCAACGCCGCGUGGAGGAUGACACAUUUCGGUGUGUAAACUCCUUUUAUAUGUCAAGAAAAUGACGGUAGCAUAUGAAUAAGCACCGGCUAACUCCGUGCCAGCAGCCGCGGUAAUACGGAGGGUGCAAGCGUUACUCGGAAUCACUGGGCGUAAAGGACGCGUAGGCGGGUUGGAAAGUCAGGUGUGAAAUCCUACAGCUUAACUGUAGAACUGCACUUGAAACUUCUAAUCUAGAGUAUGGGAGGGGGAGAUGGAAUUAGUAGUGUAGGGGUAAAAUCCGUAGAUAUCACUAGGAAUACCUAAAGCGAAGGCGAUCUCCUGGAACAUUACUGACGCUAAGGCGUGAAAGCGUGGGGAGCAAACAGGAUUAGAUACCCGCGUAGUC